Non-coding RNA from Arvicanthis niloticus (Nile rat), 2001 nucleotides. The record is from RefSeq and is a predicted model, not a curated record. NCBI's taxonomy places the organism in Eukaryota, Metazoa, Chordata, Mammalia, Rodentia, Muridae.
AUGAAUGUAGCGGCCAAAGCUGGAAAGCUGGCUCGAGCACCAGCUGACCUCGGGAAAGGUGGGGUCCCGGGAGAUGCAGCUCCCGGUGCCCCAGUGGCCGCCCCGUUGAUGAAAGAGAUUCUGGAGGUCCUCAUGGACCCACGCAGCCCGUGGCAGUAUGUAUGGGGGCACUUUCUGGGUAAAGGAGGCUUCGCCAAAUGCUUCGAGAUCUCAGACGCAGACACAAAAGAGGUGUUCACAGGCAAGAUCUUGCCUAAGUCUUUGCUGCUCAAGCCCCACCAGAAGGAGAAGAUGUCUAUGGAGAUCUCCUUUCACCGCAGCCUUGCACACUAACAUGUCGUAGGCUUCCAUGGCCUGCCUUUUUUUUUUUUUUUUUUUUUUUUUUUUUUUUUGACAGCAACUUUGUGUUUGUGGUUUUGGAGCUCUGUAGAAGGAGGUCCCUCCUGGGAGCUGCACAAGAGGAGGAAGGCACUGACUGAGCCUGAGGCCCGCCACUACCUGCGGCAGAUAGUCCUGGGCUGCCAGUAUCUGCACAACAAUCAAGUCAUUCACAGGGACCUCAAGCUGGGCAACCUCUUCAUGAAUGAGAAUCUGGAGGUGAAAAUACGGGAUUUUGGCUUGGCAACCGAAGUGAAAUGUGAAAGGGAACAAAAGAAGACCUUGUGUGGCACUCCUAACUACAUAGCUCCUGAGGUGCUGAGCAAGAAGGGACACAGUUUUGAGGUGAAUGUGUGGUCCAUAGGGUGCAUCAUGUAUACCUUGCUAGUGGGCAAGCCACCCUUUGAGACCUCAUGCCUAAAAGAGAUCUACCUCAGGAUCAAGAAAAAUGAAUACAGUAAUCCCAAACACACCAACCCAGUGGCUGCCUCCCUCAUCCAGAAGAUGCUUCAGACAGGUCCCAUUGCCCACCUCACCAUUCAUGAGUUGCUCAAUGACAAGUUCUGCACUUCUGGCUACAUCCCCCCUUCUCCCUGUUACCUGCCUCACCAUCCCACCAAGGUUUUCAAUAGCUCCCAGCAGCCUGGACCCCAGCAGCAGGAAGACUUUCAAGGUCCGCAAUAAAGGCAUGGAGAACCCCUCACCUGACCGUCCUCAGGAGAAAGAGGAGUCAGUGGUUCAGGAGAUGAGGCCAUCAAGUGUCACCUUAGUGACUUGCUACAGCAGCUGACCAGUGUCAAUACCUCCAAGCCCUCAGAGCGUGGGCGGUGUGGCAAGAGGAGGCUGGGGAUCCUGCUCGUAUCCCUAUCUUCUGGGUCAGCAGGUGGGUGGACUACUCGGACAAGUAUGGCCUUGGGUAUCAGUUGUGUGACAACAGUGUAGGGGUGCUCUUUAAUGACUCAACACGCCUCAUCCUCUACAAUGACGGGGACAGCCUGCAGUACAUAGAGCGUGAUGGCACAGAGUCCUACCUCACCAUGAGCUCCCACCUCAACUCCUUGAUGAAGAAGAUCACUCUCCUCAACUAUUUCCACAAUUACAUAAGUGAACACCCGCUGAAGGCAGGGGCUAACAUCACACCCUGGGAAGGUGACAAGCUUGCCCGGCUGCCCUACCUACGAACAUGGUUCUGCACGUGCAGCAACAUCAUCCUGCACCUCAGCAAUGGCACUGUGCAGAUUAUUUUCUUCCAGGACUACACCAAACUUAUCCUGUGCCCCCUAAUAGCAGCGGUGACCUACAUCAACGAGAAGAGGGACUUCCGGAUAUACGGCCUGAGCCUCUUGGAGGAAUAUGGCUGCUGCAAGGAGCUGGCUAGCCGCCUCCACUAUGCUCACACCAUGGUAGACAAGCUCUGAGCUCAUGCUCUGCCAGCAACCGUCUCAAGGCUUCCUAGGUCUCUGUCCUUCAGACUGGUGCCCCUUCACUCUGCUAGCUCUGGGCCUACACUGCUGGGCUCCUGGGGCUGCUGUUCAGUGCCCCUGGCCCUGGGGGGCUGGGCAGGGAGCAGUGGCCCUUUGAAGGGGUUGCUGUGUGUGAGUUAUUUGUACAUGUUUGGGUGUG